Molecule: ribosomal RNA, 446 nt
Filed under: uncultured bacterium
Lineage: Bacteria
Description: partial 16S ribosomal RNA
Rfam family: Bacterial small subunit ribosomal RNA
Source: RNAcentral
CCUACGGGGGGCAGCAGUCGAGAAUCAUUCACAAUGGGGGAAACCCUGAUGGUGCGACGCCGCGUGGGGGAAUGAAGGUCUUCGGAUUGUAAACCCCUGUCAUGUGGGAGCAAAUUAAAAAGAUAGUACCACAAGAGGAAGAGACGGCUAACUCUGUGCCAGCAGCCGCGGUAAUACAGAGGUCUCAAGCGUUGUUCGGAAUCACUGGGCGUAAAGCGUGCGGAGGCUGUUUCGUAAGUCGUGUGUGAAAGGCGCGGGCUCAACCCGCGGACGGCACAUGAUACUGCGAGACUAGAGUGAUGGAGGGGGAACCGGAAUUCUCGGUGUAGCAGUGAAAUGCGUAGAUAUCGAGAGGAACACUCGUGGCGAAGGCGGGUUCCUGGACAUUAACUGACGCUGAGGCACGAAGGCCAGGGGAGCGAAAGGGAUUAGAUACCCGGGUAGUC